This 915-nucleotide ribosomal RNA is filed under the name uncultured archaeon. Its description in RNAcentral is "bacterial SSU rRNA". It matches the Rfam family "Archaeal small subunit ribosomal RNA", at positions 1 to 922 of the family's 1478-position model. The record is from RNAcentral.
UUCCGGUUGAUCCUGCCGGAAGUUACUGCUAUCGAGGUUCGACUAAGCCAUGCGAGUCGAAUGUAGCAAUACAUGGCGAACUGCUCAGUAACACGUGGACAACCUGCCCUUAGGACGGGGAUAAACCCGGGAAACUGGGUAUAAUACCCGAUAGGUCUCGAUUGCUGGAAUGCAACGAGAUUUAAAGCUCCGGCGCCUAAGGAUGGGUCUGCGGCCUAUCAGGUAGUAGUGGGUGUAGCGUACCUACUAGCCUACGACGGGUACGGGUUGUGAGAGCAAGAGCCCGGAGAUGGAUUCUGAGACACGAAUCCAGGCCCUACGGGGUGCAGCAGGCGCGAAAACUUUACAAUGCUGGCAACAGCGAUAAGGGAACCUCGAGUGCCAGGUUACAAAUCUGGCUGUCGAGAUGCCUAAAAAGCAUUUCAUAGCAAGGGCCGGGCAAGACCGGUGCCAGCCGCCGCGGUAACACCGGCGGCUCGAGUGGUAACCGUUAUUAUUGGGGCUAAAGGGUCUGUAGCCGGCCGGAUAAGUCUCUUGAGAAAUCUGGCAGCUUAACUGUCAGGCUUUCAGGAGAUACUGUCUGGCUCGAGGCUGGGAGAGGUGAGAGGUACUUCAGGGGUAGGGGUGAAAUCUUGUAAUCCUUGAAGGACCACCAGUGGCGAAGGCGUCUCACCAGAACGGACCUGACGGCAAGGGACGAAAGCUAGGGGCACGAACCGGAUUAGAUACCCGGGUAGUCCUAGCCGUAAACGAUACUCGCUAGGUGUCGGCCACGGUGCGACCGUUGUCGGUGCCGUAGGGAAGCCGUGAAGCGAGCCACCUGGGAAGUACGGCCGCAAGGCUGAAACUUAAAGGAAUUGGCGGGGGAGCACCACAACGGGUGGAGCUUGCGGUUUAAUUGGAGUCAACGCCGGG